UACGGAGGGUGCAAGCGUUAUCCGGAUUCACUGGGUUUAAAGGGUGCGUAGGUGGGUUUGUAAGUCAGUGGUGAAAUCUCCGUGCUUAACAUGGAAACUGCCAUUGAUACUAUAGAUCUUGAAUUUUCUGGAGGAUAGCGGAAUAUGUCAUGUAGCGGUGAAAUGCUUAGAUAUGACAUAGAACACCAAUUGCGAAGGCAGCUCGCUACACGAAUAUUGACUCUGAGGCACGAAAGCGUGGGGAUCAAACAGG
Molecule: ribosomal RNA, 253 nt
Filed under: uncultured bacterium
Lineage: Bacteria
Description: partial 16S ribosomal RNA
Rfam family: Bacterial small subunit ribosomal RNA
Source: RNAcentral